This 314-nucleotide unclassified non-coding RNA is filed under the name Hevea brasiliensis (rubber tree). The record is from RNAcentral. Lineage: Eukaryota; Viridiplantae; Streptophyta; Magnoliopsida; Malpighiales; Euphorbiaceae.
CGAAAACUCUUAGAACGUGAUACCCAACCAACACAAAAGAAAACACUGUAUACAUCCAUAUAAAUGGAAACCUCAACCUCAGCAGCUCAGCAGAAGAGGAAUCCCAAAGCCAGAGCGGUCAAGGAGGCAGCAACAGCAGCAGCAGGGUAGAGACGGCAGCACCGGAGGUCGGACUAAGCGCCGGUGCCUCGACAGCCGUAACCCUCUCAACAGCAGAGCCCAACAUGAGCACAGCCAUGACGGCGAUGACGGAGAACCGAAGCUUCGAUGUUGCCUCCAUUGAUGGAAUGAAAGGUUCUACGAAUCUACUUCUG